GGAGAGGUGGCCGAGUGGUCGAAGGCGCUCCCCUGCUAAGGGAGUAGGCGGCACAACCGUCUCAAGGGUUCGAAUCCCUUUCUCUCCGCCA
This 91-nucleotide transfer RNA is filed under the name Alphaproteobacteria bacterium. RNAcentral describes it as "tRNA-Ser". It matches the Rfam family "tRNA". Rfam says of the family: Transfer RNA (tRNA) molecules are approximately 80 nucleotides in length. Their secondary structure includes four short double-helical elements and three loops (D, anti-codon, and T loops). The record is from RNAcentral. RNAcentral also lists the same sequence under 1 other name. Lineage: Bacteria; Pseudomonadati; Pseudomonadota; Alphaproteobacteria.